This 2303-nucleotide long non-coding RNA is filed under the name Piliocolobus tephrosceles (Ugandan red Colobus). RNAcentral's name for it is "lncRNA (ENSPTEG00000000160.1)". Lineage: Eukaryota; Metazoa; Chordata; Mammalia; Primates; Cercopithecidae. The record is from RNAcentral.
AAAAGGUGAAAAUAAAAACAUAGACAGAAAUGAGAUUUUCUGGAAAUCUUUAUAUAACGACUUUGACGAAAUAACUGAUACAAAUAAAAAACAUUUGCAUCAUAUAGAAAAGAGUUUACAUAGCUUUUGCAAAGGUAUAAAAUCAGCAGAUAAUUUGAGUUUUGGUAUAAAUAGAGAUGGAUAUGAUAAAUCACGUUUAAGAAGUGGAAAUAUGAACGAUGAAAUAAAAGAAGUAAAUAAAUAUAUUAAUAAUAGUAAUACAGAUAUAAAUGGAGGUAAAUAUAUGAAUAUGGACUUAUAUCAUAGAAUAUUGGACAUAAAUAAAAACGAAAAUAAUAACAGAAGUGUGAGUAAUAUUAGUAGAAAUAAUAACAUGGAUAAUGUAUCACAAUAUGAUAGAAAUAUAAAUUUUUUAAAUAAAUCAGAUUGUUUAUAUUUAAAAAAAAAUAAUAAUUUAAAUGAAUUUGUAAAAAAUAAGGAUAGUGAUAGUGUAUAUUUAAAAAAAACACUUGAACGAAAUUGUGAUAAAUUAUUAAAUACAAAAAUUAUAAAAACUUCGGGAGAUAUAAAAUCGUCUUUAAUACAUUCUAAUUGUUCAUCAAAAAAUGGUAACAAAGAAAAUAUUAAUUUCGAUACCAAGUUAAAUUGGAAACGUAUUGAUAAUUUGAUACAUUCAAAGAUGGAUAACUAUAGUUUAUAUGAUAAAAAAAGUAUACUACAUAAUAAUAUUGAUGAUAGUAAUAAAAAAUGGUUUGAUAGUAGUAAUAAAAAAGUGUAUGAAAAUAAUAUGAACAGAAGCUAUAUUGUUCAUAAUAAUAAUAAAAUUAAUAAUAAUUUGUAUAAUAGUCAAAAUGUCAAAAGUUGGUGCUAUGAUAAUUUAAAAAAUAUAAAGAAAAAAAAUGGGUUAACAAGUAAAAGGGAUGUGGAUGGAGAUGUGGAUGGAGAUGUGGAUGUGGAUGUGGAUGUGGAUGUGGAUGGAGAUGGAAAUGUGGAUGAAGAUGGAGAUGAAUAUAGAUCGUUAGUUUAUACGAAAGAAUAUCUUGAUUAUAUAAAAAUGGGAAUAAGAAAAAAAGAAAAAAACAAAACAGUUAAUGAUCCAUUGAAAUUAAGAAACAAUUUAAACACAAAUUUAUUUUUUCAAAACAUUAAUAAGUAUAAAAAUAUAGAUGUAAAAUCAGAAAAUAAACAUUUGUACAAUAAUGAUGAAGAUAGUAACGACAUAACUAUAAAAUCACCUACAAGUGAUAUUGUUAAACAAACAAAUCUAAACUCAAUCGAAAGGUUAGAUAAGUUGUUACAAAAUAAAUACAAAUAUGUAAAUAGUUCUAGUGAUCCAAAUGAAAAACAAAACAUAUAUUUAAAUAUGAAUAAAUAUAAUAAUUAUUUGGAUAAAUUAAAAAAAGAAGAAGAAAUAAGUGUUUGUGACGUGGAAAGUAUUCACAAUGGAACUAGCCAAUGUGGAAGUAUAAAAAGUCAUAUAAAUCGCGAUAAUAAUAAAAACGAUAAUUAUGCUGAUAUUUUAUCAAAUAUUUCAUCAGCAAGAAGCAUAGAUGAUAGUUCAUAUAAAAAAUUAAUAAAUAAAUCGAAAAUGUUAAAUGAAAUAACACACAAAUGUUUGAAUUCUUAUUCAGACUUAAGUAAAUAUACCACAAGGAAUUUAUAUUUAAAUAAAAAUUUCUCUUAUAGAAGUGAGGAUAAUGAAAACAGUGUCACUAGUGUUAAUAGUAGUAACAUAAAAGAGGAAAACUUAUAUGAUUUGUAUCGUAGCAAUAAUAAUGACAAUAGUAACAGUACUAGUAAUAAUAUAAAAACUUAUACCGUUAAAAAUCCUAAUUAUAACAAACACAAUGUUUUUAAUGAGAGUUUUGGAGAUUUUGAUAAAAGUAUAAAUAAAGAGUUUAUAAAACCAAAUAUGGACUAUUCAUCUAAUAACGAGUGUAAGCAAUUGAUGGAACAUAUUGGAAGGAGAUUUAUUGAUGGUGAGGAGAAUGACAAUAUUCUUAAUAAUUCUACAAGUAUAGGAAAAAGCGAAAAAAAGGGAAGUAUCGAAAACGAGGGAAGCAAAGAAAACGACGAAAAUAACGAAAAUGACGAAAAUGACGAAAAUGACGAAAAUGACGAAAAUGACNNNNNNNNNNACGAAAAUGACGAAAAUGACGAAAAUGACGAAAAUGACGAAAAUGACAAAAAUAACGAAAAUAACGAAAAUGACGAAAAUAACGAAAAUAACGAAAAUAACGAAAAUGACGAAAAUAACGAAAAUAACGAAAAUAACGAAAAUAACGAAAAUGACAAAAAUAACG